ACUCUCCAAAAAAAGACGUCAUGUCCGGCCACCUUCUUCUGAAAAACCAACAAGUUGUGAGAGACUUACAUUAGAGAUGUUUUAUCUGUACUUUCGCAGCUGAAGUGGCACACUUUGUUAGACUGAGUUAAGGAACCGGUGAAUCUCUGAGUGUCUCUUAAAAAUCAAGGCUACAGUCACUUCACCAACGGGAGAGGUGAGCAAGGGAGUGAUCUGCAACAGAAGGGCUAAAGAACAGUAGGUGACGCAGGCAGCAACGGAGAGCAGAGACACCAGGACCACCAUGCAGGCUGCGAUGACCACGUUUCUUCUCUUCUCCUCCUCGGCCUGCUGGAGCUCCCACCACUCCAGCAAGGGGAUGAACCACCACAAUAGAUGCUGGCUGGACCAUGUUGCCAUGUAUACGUUGCAGCUUUUUCCCAGUAUGCUUGUGGAAGCUCCUCAGCUCCCGGUGCUCCCAGUCAGAUAUCCACAACCUGUCCUCAAAUACAGCGAGGUCAAAAGGUCGACCUGGAUCAAUCAGAGGGAGGAAGAAUCCAGAGGAUUCACAAAGAAGAAGAAGAGAUCAGUGAGUGUAAAGGACCCGCCGACCUGAGCCAUCCAGGGCAGCAGUCUCCACCAGACCCCUCUUCAGGUCGCACCAGAACAGACGGUCAUCUGUGAAAUCGAUGGUCAGGCCGCUCGGUGACACAAGUACAUCCUGUGGUGGAUCCAGUCUAUAGCCAGUCCUUCUGGAGAGUCCAAACCAUCAGACACAAGGAUGUCCCUCGACCCACCGUUCAAAUCAACACGCUCUAUUGUCUUCUGCCUUGUGCUUGCGAAGAACACCUUCAAAACACAAAACAAAUAUCCAUUUAAAGAAAUUCAUUCAUUUUAUUGGAGCAGCAAAAGAAGGUAAGAGAUUGUUUUUCAUUUGAACUCCAUAAGCCAUCACAUAACAACUGUCUGUCCACUAGAUGGCACCAGCUGUCUUUAACAAACCUGAGUCAUGUCCACCAUGAGACAAACCCUUACUCAAGAAGCCUCAUGAGACUCGUGAGACUUUUGUGUCUAGUGAAACAACAAAUUGCAAUAAAGAAUGAAAGGUGUUUUAUCUUA
Long non-coding RNA from Notolabrus celidotus (New Zealand spotty), 1098 nucleotides. RefSeq lists it as uncharacterized. Lineage: Eukaryota; Metazoa; Chordata; Actinopteri; Labriformes; Labridae. The record is from RefSeq and is a predicted model, not a curated record. The transcript has 6 exons.